RNAcentral lists this transfer-messenger RNA (362 nucleotides) under Burkholderiales. RNAcentral describes it as "CAIYPG01 sp016867955 Standard tmRNA". It matches the Rfam family "transfer-messenger RNA". Rfam says of the family: Bacterial tmRNA, also known as 10Sa RNA or SsrA, is named for its dual tRNA and mRNA-like properties. Its role is to liberate the mRNA from a stalled ribosome. Lineage: Bacteria; Pseudomonadati; Pseudomonadota; Betaproteobacteria. RNAcentral also lists the same sequence under 1 other name. The record is from RNAcentral.
GGGGGCGACCUGGUUUCGACGUGGGUUGCGAAGCAGCGCAGUGCAUACCGAGGACCAGUUCCCUCGUAAAUCUACUGGAAACGCUUUAACUGCGAACGACGAACGUUUCGCUCUAGCCGCUUAAUACCGGCUAGCUCUGCACCGGCUUGUUCAUGGGCCGGGUAGCGCAAGCUACGGCAGAGUCCUUCACAUGAUCUAGCGCUCUGCAGGGUCACUUUGCAGUCCGCGAAUCCCAAGGUGACUCGCCGUUUGCCAGCCUGCCGGUUGGCGUGCAAGCGGUCAAAUCAAAUAAUCUGGCUAAGUAUGUAGAUCUGGCUGUAGAGAGCUUGCGGACGCGGGUUCGAUUCCCGCCGCCUCCACCA